AUCAGUGAUGGAUUGGGAAGCCGAGGCGUGCCGUCCUGUCGAGUUUGGGCUGGGGGUUGGCCGGCGGCGGUGAGCAGAUGCCAUGCAGCGGGCGGCGCAUGGGUGAACGUGUGGGCGAGCCACUCUCAGGCCAUGACGUCGUGCCGGGCGCUCUCUGGAGCGGGUGUGCCUCGGGGUAGCCCAAAAGGGCUGGGUUUGGGGGGCUUUUGCUCCAAACUUUUCAAAAGAUCUCAUGAAACUCCAAAAGUAAAACAUGUAGCCCUAAUGUCUAGCUCAAAAUUUUACAGAAAGAGUUUGUUCAAAAAUGAAAUGGAUUUGACGUUACUAGUCUCUGA
This 335-nucleotide long non-coding RNA is filed under the name Setaria viridis. Its description in RNAcentral is "long non-coding RNA (SVIR_LNC006860)". The record is from RNAcentral. Lineage: Eukaryota; Viridiplantae; Streptophyta; Magnoliopsida; Poales; Poaceae.